RNAcentral lists this unclassified non-coding RNA (562 nucleotides) under Hevea brasiliensis (rubber tree). The record is from RNAcentral. Lineage: Eukaryota; Viridiplantae; Streptophyta; Magnoliopsida; Malpighiales; Euphorbiaceae.
AUCAAAAUAACUAGCCAAUUCAAUAUUGCAAUUCAAAAUUGCCCUUUCAUUUCAUACUUUUUAAAUGUGGGAUCAGCAGCAUAAAAAGCUGCACCUGGGGAGUUUUGGACUUUGAAGUGAUAAAUUGGAAAUAAUGAUAUCCUAAUUAUACCGCCUCCCUCUCAACUGAAUUGAAAUUGGGAAAAAUAUUUGCAUUCCUAAAUUAAUGUGCUGAUUUGUAUUUCCUACCCAAACUACCAUAUGACACCAAGAAGUGUCAUCCUUAAUGGGACCUCAUGGCUAGGCAAACAGACAACAAAAGACAUUAACAAUCCAAAUCCUAACUGCAAAGCUACAGUCAGUAAAACAGCUUGAUUUGGGAACAAUUACUUUGGAGGUUUUCAUACUUAAUUUCAGUUGCUAAAAAAAGUUAAUUCUAAUAAAACUCUCUAACCCAUUCUGCUAAUAUUUCCAGAUGCAAAAUUUGUUAUUACGAUCACAGCGCAUGAUGCCAAAUGAAGCAUGAAUAUGGCUAAUGCUUCUGAAUGAAACUAAAAAUUAUAGCAAAAAUAAUGCAUAUUUG